This 508-nucleotide ribosomal RNA is filed under the name uncultured bacterium. RNAcentral describes it as "partial 16S ribosomal RNA". It matches the Rfam family "Bacterial small subunit ribosomal RNA", at positions 28 to 523 of the family's 1533-position model. The record is from RNAcentral.
GAUGAACGCUAGCUACAGGCUUAACACAUGCAAGUCGAGGGGAAACGAUAUUGGAAGCUUGCUUCCGAUAGGCGUCGACCGGCGCACGGGUGGGUAACGCGUAUCCAACCUGCCCAUCACUUGGGGAUAACCUUGCGAAAGUAAGACUAAUACCCAAUGAUAUCCGUCGAAGACAUCUGAAGUGGAGUAAAGAUUCAUCGGUGAUGGAUGGGGAUGCGGCUGAUUAGCUUGUUGGCGGGGUAACGGCCCACCAAGGCGACGAUCAGUAGGGGUUCUGAGAGGAAGGUCCCCCACAUUGGAACUGAGACACGGUCCAAACUCCUACGGGAGGCAGCAGUGAGGAAUAUUGGUCAAUGGACGAGAGUCUGAGCCAGCCAAGUAGCGUGCAGGAUGACGGCCCUAUGGGUUGUAAACUGCUUUUAUAAGGGAAUAAAGUGAGUCUCGUGAGACUUUUUGCAUGUACCCUAUGAAUAAGGACCGGCUAAUUCCGUGCCAGCCGCCGCAGUAA